RNAcentral lists this ribosomal RNA (253 nucleotides) under uncultured bacterium. RNAcentral describes it as "partial 16S ribosomal RNA". It matches the Rfam family "Bacterial small subunit ribosomal RNA", at positions 524 to 776 of the family's 1533-position model. The record is from RNAcentral.
UACGUAGGUGGCAAGCGUUGUCCGGAAUUAUUGGGCGUAAAGCGCGCGCAGGCGGUCCUUUAAGUCUGAUGUGAAAGCCCACGGCUCAACCGUGGAGGGUCAUUGGAAACUGGGGGACUUGAGUACAGAAGAGAAGAGUGGAAUUCCACGUGUAGCGGUGAAACGCGUAGAGAUGUGGAGGAACACCAGUGGCGAAGGCGACUCUUUGGUCUGUAACUGACGCUGAGGCGCGAAAGCGUGGGGAGCAAACAGG